GACGAACGCUGGCGGCGUGCCUAAUACAUGCAAGUUGAGCGCUUAAGGUUGGUACUUGUACCAACUGGAUGAGCAGCGAACGGGUGAGUAACGCGUGGGGAAUCUGCCUUUGAGCGGGGGACAACAUUUGGAAACGAAUGCUAAUACCGCAUAAAAACUUUAAACACAAGUUUUAAGUUUGAAAGAUGCAAUUGCAUCACUCAAAGAUGAUCCCGCGUUGUAUUAGCUAGUUGGUGAGGUAAAGGCUCACCAAGGCGAUGAUACAUAGCCGACCUGAGAGGGUGAUCGGCCACAGUGGGACUGAGACACGGCCCAAACUCCUACGGGAGGCAGCAGUAGGGAAUCUUCGGCAAUGGACGAAAGUCUGACCGAGCAACGCCGCGUGAGUGAAGAAGGUUUUCGGAUCGUAAAACUCUGUUGGUAGAGAAGAACGUUGGUGAGAGUGGAAAGCUCAUCAAGUGACGGUAACUACCCAGAAAGGGACGGCUAACUACGUG
Molecule: ribosomal RNA, 497 nt
Filed under: uncultured bacterium
Lineage: Bacteria
Description: partial 16S ribosomal RNA
Rfam family: Bacterial small subunit ribosomal RNA
Source: RNAcentral